Lytechinus variegatus (green sea urchin) is the source of this 424-nucleotide long non-coding RNA. RefSeq lists it as uncharacterized. The record is from RefSeq and is a predicted model, not a curated record. NCBI's taxonomy places the organism in Eukaryota, Metazoa, Echinodermata, Echinoidea, Temnopleuroida, Toxopneustidae. The transcript has 2 exons.
GCAACUGACAAAUCAUGGGGAAAUACAAAACUUGCAAAAGGCCAAUUGACUUGCAUAAUAUAAACCGUCCAUCAUGAGCGCCCUUCGGACUAAUGCGAUAAUAGUUCGGACAGCACGAAUUUGACCGAACUCGUGAUGGUUAUUACUUCGGAUCAUCGCUGUUCCAGUUUUCAACAAUCCCAAUUCCUAGACUCGUGGCAGGUCUCUUGAUUGCAAAACCAAAAUAAAUAACCACUGUGAAGUUACAUGAUUCAAAGUGAAAACACGCAGUUUACAUCUGGUCGGUUAGUCUAUUACUCUCAAGACCUCCCAGACAUGCCGGCGUCUAUUACAUAACACCCCCAGACAUGCAGCCGAGUAGAAUCCCUUCUCUGUUCUGAGAUAAGCCUUGAUUUCCCCAUGAUUUGUCAAUGAAAGGUCGCUU